UGGGGAAUAUUGGACAAUGGGCGCAAGCCUGAUCCAGCCAUGCCGCGUGAGUGAUGAAGGCCCUAGGGUUGUAAAGCUCUUUCACCGGUGAAGAUAAUGACGGUAACCGGAGAAGAAGCCCCGGCUAACUUCGUGCCAGCAGCCGCGGUAAUACGAAGGGGGCUAGCGUUGUUCGGAUUUACUGGGCGUAAAGCGCACGUAGGCGGACUUUUAAGUCAGGGGUGAAAUCCCGGGGCUCAACCCCGGAACUGCCUUUGAUACUGGAAGUCUUGGGUAUGGUAGAGGUGAGUGGAAUUCCGAGUGUAGAGCUGAAAUUCGUAGAUAUUCGGAGGAACACCAGUGGCGAAGGCGGCUCACUGGACCAUUACUGACGCUGAGGUGCGAAAGCGUGGGGAGCAAACAGG
RNAcentral lists this ribosomal RNA (404 nucleotides) under Actinomycetes bacterium. RNAcentral's name for it is "Actinobacteria bacterium partial 16S ribosomal RNA". It matches the Rfam family "Bacterial small subunit ribosomal RNA", at positions 355 to 776 of the family's 1533-position model. The record is from RNAcentral. Lineage: Bacteria; Bacillati; Actinomycetota; Actinomycetes.